GAGCCACAGAGGUAUAUUAUCACAGUAAUGUGAUGCAGCAGUAAAAGCUACGUGCGUACAUGUAGAAGCAGCAAAUGGGUAGGCUACGUGAGUACACGUAGAAAUAGCAAAUGGAUAGACAAACUAUAAGGUAUACAAUACUGCCUACAUGCACCGUAUAUCUAACAGCCUGGAACCCAAGAGUAUGACAGCAAAAUGAAUUAUGAUUGAGGAGUAAAUGUCAAGCCUACAGAUAGUAUCUAAACAGAUGAUAGACAGACUACAAAAAGCAAAGGAGCAUAUAGAGGGG
Molecule: long non-coding RNA, 289 nt
Filed under: Elaeis guineensis (African oil palm)
Lineage: Eukaryota; Viridiplantae; Streptophyta; Magnoliopsida; Arecales; Arecaceae
Description: long non-coding RNA (EGUI_LNC053517)
Source: RNAcentral